Molecule: non-coding RNA, 3467 nt
Organism: Nothobranchius furzeri (turquoise killifish)
Lineage: Eukaryota; Metazoa; Chordata; Actinopteri; Cyprinodontiformes; Nothobranchiidae
Source: RefSeq, a predicted model, not a curated record
GCAACACUGGAAAUGAAGCCAUAAAAACAAUUAUUUGAAUUCUUUUUUACAUUAUAACAGAUUACUGAUUGAUAUUUUGUGUAACUGACAGGAGAGUGAGCAGAGUUCCGGAUCUGAUGACGAAUCUAAAUGUGAAGGGAGAGCUGCGGCUCAUGAAGUGCAGCGUGCCUACUUGGAUGAGUCUGUGUCUACCAGGUCAGAUACUGAAGUUUCUCCAAGCAAAAUAUUGAACCCCGGAUGGCCUCCCAACCUACUCCUCACUUGAAGACAGUCAUCACAUUCAGCGUUUGAAGAAACUGACAGCUCAUCAUGGCAAAUGUGAGCGCAGUUUUGAGAAGGCUUAUGCAAUGCAGACAAAGGAGGAGCAGGACAGAACAUUAACGUUGCAUCAUCAACUGAACAUGAAGGGUCAUCAUCUGAAAGUGAAGAUACCAUCACCCUUAAUGAAACUCCACCUGAUGUGAUCCAAGAUGACAGCGUUCCUAUGCUCACAAGAACCCAAAGUGUAAUUGUAAGUUUGUCUUCAAACGUUAAUGUAUAAUCUCAAUUAGGGUUGUCACGGUGUGAAAAUUCAACCUCACGGUUAUUGUGACCAAAAUUAUCACGGUUUUCGGUAUUAUCGCAGUAUUUUUUUAAACAUGUUACAUUUUCAGACAACUAAAUAAACCCUGUAUAUCAGGAAAAUAUUGUCCUCAGUUUGUGUCUAUAUGUUGCCUAAAAUUUGUUAUUUUGUAAUUAUGUUGUUUAUUUGUUUACAUUUUUCCCCUUUAGUCUUUAAAAUACCAAUAGUUGCCCAUAACUUUUUAUUUUUUGUCUGUUGGAUGUCAUCAUUUUAAAAAUAUUAGAUCAGAUGAUACUCAGUACUCAAGUAGCCUUCUAAUCAGAUUCUCCAAUAGCAUAUUUACCUUUAUCUAAUGUAUGAAUUAUUCCAUCGGUUGCUUCCAUUAUUGCAAGUGCUGUUGUCCUCUUUUCUCUGAAUCCGUACUGACUAUGGUCUAGUAUUUCGUGUUUAUUUAAAACAUUUUCUAGUCUGAUAUUAAAUAGUUUUUCCAGGAUUUUUGAAAAUUGAGGAAGAAGUGAUACUGGCCUGUAGUUGUUAAAUAGAUGUUUAUUCCCUUGCUUAAAAAUUGGUAUUACUUUAGCUACUUUCAUUUUCUGAGGAAAUAAACCAGUUUGGAAGGAUAAGUUAAAUAUAAAAGUUAAUGUUUUAGAAUAACAUCAAUAACUCUUUUAAACAACACCAUAUCAAUACCGUCACAAUCAGUGGAGACUUUGUUGUUACAUUUAUCAACAACUGAUUUAACUUCCAACUCAUCCACUGCUGAGAGGAAGAUUGAGUCAGGGUAGUUUUUUUUUUAAUUUUUUUUAUCAGUGGUUCACUUAUUGUCUGUCUUUUUUGGCUUGGUAUAUUUGCUGCAAGCUCUGGGCCUACAUUCACAAAAUAUUCAUUCAUUCUAUUAACUACUUUUAUUUUAUCAUAAAUAUCACUUUGAUUAUCAGUAUAGUAUUCAGGGUAUACCAUUUUCUUUUUCCCACCAUUACUUAAUUUGUUUAGUACGGUAUAUCUCAGACACCUUUUAAGUUAUUCUUAUUUUCAUUUAGGAUUUUUCUGUAAUAUAUCUUUAUACUAGUUCUUAUUAUUUCAGUUAAUUUACUUUUGUAAACUUUAUAUCUGAUUUCAGCUUCCUUAGUUCAUAGUUUAAUAAAAUUCCUAUAAAGACUUGUUUUUCUUUUUACAAGCAUUUUGGAAUCCUUUAGUUAGCCAUGGGAGAUUUUUAUACUUAUGACUUCCAUUAAUGACCUUGACUGGACAAUUCUUAUUGUAAAGUGUCUUAAAUAUGUCAAUAAAUUUACUAUAUGCCAUAUCAACGUCAUCUUCCCUAUAGACUACAUCCCAGUCUUGGGACAUCAAUUCCUCUUUAAAUGCAGCAAUUAAAUCGUCUGUUCGUAAUCUCUUAUAUAUCUAUUUCCCUGAUUUUCUUUGACACCUACUUUCUUUAAUUCCAUUGCUGAUGUCAAAAUAUACAUAUAUAGGUCAGUGGUCACUAAUAUAAUUUAUUAGUAUGCCACCUGCAAUAUUUUUUUCAACACAAAUUGUAAAAAUAUUGUCAAUCAAGGUUGCACAUUGUGCCGUAAUUCUUGUUGGUCGUGUGAUCUUCUGGAACAGGGAUAAGCUAUACAUCAUGUCUAAGAAAUCUUCAGUAUGUUUAUGCAGUUUUGACUUCAUGAGAUCAAUGUUAAAGUCCCCACAGAUGAAAAUAUCCUUUUGGCCAAUUUUUGUGUACAUUUUCUCUAUACAGGUUUUAAACUAAUCCAUAUCCGAUCCUAGGGCUCUGUAUAUACAGCUAACUAGUAUAUUGUAAAGGGUUAAUUUACAUUUAUUUAAUGAACCAUAAGACGUGGUUCUAUGGCAAAAAUAGAGUAUCACGAUUUUUCCAAUAUUUUAUCACGAUUUCGAUUUUAUCACGAUUUUUUAUCCAUGGAUAGCAUAACUUCAAUUGCGUAUUAAAGAAGAGAAACAUUGAAUAAAUAAACAUUUAUUCAUAUUAGGGAUAAUCAGCACAGUGCUAACACGCUUAUAUUUUAAACUCACACCAGAGAUGAUAAAAGCCCUGAGAGAAACAAUUACAAAAAUCAGUUUUUCUCGUUUUUCAAGUAACUUAACAUAAAUUAAAAUCAUAAACAUAUUUAAAGUGCAAACAUGUCAAUUGCAAACGUAUUGUGCAAACAUUAACUUGUUAAAAAUACUAUGUAGCUCCCAGUUGCUCAUGUAGUGGAUAGUUAAGCUCAAAUACGGCUCUGAUGUGCGGCUGGACCAGAGAUCGCUUGUGGUAGCAAAAAACUGUGCAUUCUGAAUAUUUUCUGCAACAAGUCUAAGUAAAGUAAAAUUUUCCAGUGCAGAUUGGAGACAACCCAUAGAAGCACUGAUUUGAUCUCAUUUCAGAGAAAAAUAGAACACGUUAGAUGCACCUAAUAAAUAAAAUUACUAACAAACUCAGGAAUGUUUCUUUGCUUCACUGUUCUGGUGCUGAAAAUAUCACUAAUGCGGAUCAAAGGAGAUAUACAGAUGAAUGCACCUCUUAUUAUUUGGAAACUACAUUUACUGCAGCUGGCAGAGGCAGAGAUUGUUUCUAUUGAUACACAGAAUUUACAGAAUCAUUUUAAAUUGUAAUAGGGGAAGACUGCAGGAGGGAGCGGUAAAAUACAGGGGGUCCCCAGCAAAAACAAGAAACUACGAGUCUGAUAAAACCCGCUGGUUUUCCAUCAGGCAGUCACGGGGCAGCUCCAACGACCCAGUGGCCAAGGCGAGCUCAGUCCGGCUCGGCAGAGGGUGAACGAGCCGAGGCGAUGUCGUGCUCUGCUUAAGAAGAAGUGUUAUUUUCCUGCUUCAGAAGAAGCGUCCAACAUGUUUUUACGCUUUCUCCGAGACAUGUCACAUUGCUAAGUUGUUAGCGCCGUGCGCUAAG